UACGUGGGGUGCAAGCGUUAUCCGGAUUUAUUGGGCGUAAAGAGUUCGUAGGCGUCUGAUUAAGUUUUGUCUGAAAUCUCGAGGCUUAACCUCGAAACUGGGCGAAAUACUGGUCAGAUCGAGUCUGUUAGGGGGUACUGGAACUCAUAGUGUAGCAGUGAAAUGCGUUGAUAUUAUGAGGAACACCAAGGGCGAAGGCAGGUACCUGGGGCAUGACUGACGCUGAGGAACGAAAGCUAGGGGAGCGAAAGGG
This 253-nucleotide ribosomal RNA is filed under the name uncultured bacterium. RNAcentral's name for it is "partial 16S ribosomal RNA". It matches the Rfam family "Bacterial small subunit ribosomal RNA", at positions 524 to 776 of the family's 1533-position model. The record is from RNAcentral.